GGGGGUGCAAGAAUUGACAGAAAUUAAACCAAGAUAGGCAAACCGAGUAUUCUCGAAUCUCGUAAAACUUCGGGAAAAUAAUAAGUGCCAACUUAUUCAAAAAACCUGCAUUAGCAUUAGCUUAAUGCCAUCCUUUUUACUGAUUCUCGAUGGGUAAAAAAGCCCUGUUCCUGCCUUUGGCAGGACGGGCCCGUCCUGAUAAAAUUAGGAUAAGGGGGUGUCAUAUUAUCGAGAUAGAUGGCUUUUUUCAACCCUAAAAAGUUAUUGAAACGCAAAGGGUUAAAAAUAGGAAGAUUUUACCCAAUUUAAACUUUCUAUUAUUCUACAAAUUGGGGUAUGCUUGUAGAUCUAUCUUUGUAUUAAUUUUUGGACGCGAGUUCACCCUCGCCACCUCCACAA
This 399-nucleotide transfer-messenger RNA is filed under the name Candidatus Nealsonbacteria bacterium CG_4_10_14_0_2_um_filter_40_15. It matches the Rfam family "transfer-messenger RNA". From Rfam's summary of the family: Bacterial tmRNA, also known as 10Sa RNA or SsrA, is named for its dual tRNA and mRNA-like properties. Its role is to liberate the mRNA from a stalled ribosome. RNAcentral also lists the same sequence under 1 other name. The record is from RNAcentral. Lineage: Bacteria; Candidatus Nealsoniibacteriota.